RNAcentral lists this unclassified non-coding RNA (1212 nucleotides) under Athalia rosae (coleseed sawfly). Its description in RNAcentral is "misc RNA ENSAEAG00005003600.1". Lineage: Eukaryota; Metazoa; Arthropoda; Insecta; Hymenoptera; Athaliidae. The record is from RNAcentral.
ACCACAAUAUGGUUUUUGCGAUCGUGUGGCUAAGUAAAAGGUUCCUUGCGCAGCAAAAUUAGUUUUAUAUCCCAUUUCUUGUGACAGCGAUGUCUCACGGGGAAAGCAAUUACCUUUCAAGAAGUCAGCUGCACCUCGAGGGCAAGGCCAUGCUAUAAACUUACAUUUUUGGAGUUGACUCUGAAUACUUUCAACGAAAAAUUGCCAAGCCCCAAUCCAAAUCCAUCAACGAGGGAUUCAGAUCCAUCUGUGUGUAUAAUAUCCACAAAACGAGCGUCUGAAAUAUCCAAUUUCUUGGAUCGUUGUCUUAUCAAAUGGUUUUUGAAAAAUGGUGACGCCGGAUCUAAGCCUGUGAUUCGUUCCACAAGUAAAUUCUUCUUCUUCAACAUCUCUGAUGUACAUCCAGCUACAUGAGCACCUAGGCUGAAGCCAAUGAUAUGAAGUCUAUUAGGACUGCUACCUAAUUUGAAUGUGUCCAUUAAUAUUAGUGCUAGCUGACGUCCAACUAAUUCUGUAUUAGCAACAGAAGUUGCAUAGGAUGUUUCCGCACCCCUUUCCCAAUUUACGAUUAUAACAUUUGCAUCUUCCUGAAAUAACAUUUUCAAUUUCAGUAGUCAAUGUGUACACAGUAUGGCGUAAUUGUCAACCGGCGUAGAUUCCGAUUUACAUUACUACAUGAUACUCACCACUUCUAGAAUUGACUUUGCCCCAAGAGUGAGUCCAACAUCGUUACCACUUCCUCUGAACCCAUGUAUGAAUGCUUUAGUAUUUCUAGUAGCAUUGUAAGUGGACUUGCUGAUCGACUGCAAACCAUCUCCAUACACAAGGAACUUUGGAACUUGUGGGUUCUCACGUGUGUAUAAGAGGAAUUGAGUAUUUAUCUUAUCGGGGUGUUCAGGUGGUCGUUUAAGAGAUAAUUGCGCAGGAGGAUCAGCAAAACAGCCCACAAAAUCUGUGUAAAAUAUCGAAAUUGUGUCACCAAAGUCAAAGAUAUAUCAGGCUAUUGUCUUGGCAGUAAACUUUUUAUGGAAUUAUACCAUAGGUUUAAAUUGAGCAAUAGGCAAAUGGGACGGAAAAAAUCUUACCGUAACAUACUUGAGGUUUGAUUUUGUUCUGUAGAUUUAUCCUCCGUUGCAUCAAAUGGUUUCGUCUAUUCAUUAUCUUGGCUGAAAUAAGUUGGUGCACAAGCAAUAAAUAUUUUCGAAGAAAUAU